UCUUGAGGAGGUAGUGAUGGUUUGUUCUUGAGGAGGUAGUGAUGGUUUGUUCUUGAGGAGGUAGUGAUGGUUUGUUCUUGAGGAGGUAGUGAUGGUUUGUUCUUGAGGAGGUAGUGAUGGUUUGUUCUUGAGGAGGUAGUGAUGGUUUGUUCUUGAGGAGGUAGUGAUGGUUUGUUCUUGAGGAGGUAGUGAUGGUUUGUUCUUGAGGAGGUAGUGAUGGUUUGUUCUUGAGGAGGUAGUGAUGGUUUGUUCUUGAGGAGGUAGUGAUGGUUUGUUCUUGAGGAGGUAGUGAUGGUUAGUUCUUGAGGAGGUAGUGAUGGUUUGUUCUUCAGGAGGUAGUGAUGGUUUGUUCUUCAGGAGGUAGUGAUGGUUUGUUCUUCAGGAGGUAGUGAUGGUUUGUUCUUGAGGAGGUAGUGAUGGUUUGUUCUUGAGGAGGUAGUGAUGGUUUGUUCUUGAGGAGGUAGUGAUGGUUAGUUCUUCAGGAGGUAGUGAUGGUUAGUUCUUCAGGAGGUAGUGAUGGUUAGUUCUUCAGGAGGUAGUGAUGGUUAGUUCUUCAGGAGGUAGUGAUGGUUAGUUCUUGAGGAGGUAGUGAUGGUUAGUUCUUCAGGAGGUAGUGAUGGUUAGUUCUUCAGGAGGUAGUGAUGGUUAGUUCUUGAGGAGGUAGUGAUGGUUAGUUCUUGAGGAGGUA
Long non-coding RNA from Oncorhynchus keta (chum salmon), 688 nucleotides. RefSeq lists it as uncharacterized. Lineage: Eukaryota; Metazoa; Chordata; Actinopteri; Salmoniformes; Salmonidae. The transcript has 5 exons. The record is from RefSeq and is a predicted model, not a curated record.